CGGAGUGUCGCCGGACAACGUUGAAGGCCGUCGGAGGUCCUCAACUCCUCCAGCCGGUUCCGAUUCACGGUCGCCGCAGCUCCGACGUUGGCGAACGAACCGAAGACGGCGUCGUCUUCCCUCCGGCCCAGCGAACUAGGUGCGCAUUCUGAGUCUCGCUUCGUCCCACCUGCUUCCCUCCCUGUGCCGGACCUUUGCAUUCACCGCCGGAGUGCUGCCGAAGUGGCGACUGUACGGUGGACGAAAAAGAGGGGUUUUCCGGGUUGUCAGUCCCACCCACACCGUAGGCAAUCGUCUCUGUUCCAACCGCCACACCUCGUGUUCACUCAAGACUGACUGGAAAGAAACACACGCAGCUGCCACGGUUGACAUUGGACAAUUGGGCUUUGGCAAUUUAAGGAAGAAGCUACUAAUUCACUUGAGCUGGGAGGGUGCACUCGGUCCAAACAGCUGAUGCUUGUCCAGCUUAGUAAAGCCACGGUCCAACACAAGAUCACACAUCCCGCACGAAGGCAAUGAGGCCCACGGAAGAAGGGAAUGUAGCACUCCAGCCGAAGAGAAAACAGAAGAAAGCAAGAAGUGGUGUACACGUGAUGUAGAGCUGGACACGGUGCAUUCCAUUCUGGAACAAGAAGCACACUACACGUUGGAGGCAGUAGAGCAUACAAUAAGCGUGGGAGAUAUUAUUUUCUUUGGUUCAACUGGAAGACGCAUGGCCUGCACACUGACGCCCCAAGAGAAUAACAAACACAUCCAGCAUGGUCCGGAGGAAGAAAAUAGAAAAGAAAGAGGCUGCACUCAUUCACGCUCGGGACUGAUAACUGCCACCUCCAGAAAUGCAGAAAGAAUAGUUGCACGCUUGCUGCCACUUUGGUUCAGGAAUUCUCUGAAAAGAGGAGUGGAGAAAUUAUUUUUGUAAGAGAGGUGGAGAACAAGAGAAGGUGGACGGCCAGGAGCAGGGAGAUUCUCCAACAACAACUCUAGGUUCUCAUCUUUUUUCCAGGGGCUCUGGAAGAAAGGGGGACGACAUUCAGCAUGCAGAUGGGGACGGGAGAACUCUCUCAUAUUGUUUUUGUUUCUUGGAGAACGUUGCCUUGAGAGAGGAGAACUGCACCCAGCCCACACCUCAGUACACAUCCAGCUGCCAUAUACUUCUCAGACGGACUCUCUCACCUUUGGCUCUUGGUCUUUGGAACGUUGCUUUUGGAGAUAGAAGGACUGCAUCCAGCUGCCAACUUGGAGGCGCACGUUCACGAGCCACCGCGUACGUACACAUCCAGCUGCAAAUGGUUUCGCUUGGAACGUCUUUGGAGAGCUUGGAAUGAGAGGUUGAAGCAGCACUGCAUCCAGCUUGGAACGUUCUCUAAUAUUAAUUUUAUAUUUUCAGGUAUAGAAAGUUGAAGCAGCACUGUAUCAAAUCAAAUUUUUAAACAAUUUAAGAUAGGAUAUUUUAAAUCUAUUUAAACUGAUAAUUGUCAACACCCAAUUUC
This 1490-nucleotide small RNA is filed under the name Vigna angularis var. angularis. RNAcentral describes it as "Non-protein coding transcript". The record is from RNAcentral. Lineage: Eukaryota; Viridiplantae; Streptophyta; Magnoliopsida; Fabales; Fabaceae.